Molecule: ribosomal RNA, 321 nt
Filed under: uncultured eukaryote
Lineage: Eukaryota
Description: partial 18S ribosomal RNA
Rfam family: Eukaryotic small subunit ribosomal RNA
Source: RNAcentral
CCCUUAGAUGUUCUGGGCCGCACGCGUGCUACACUGAGUGGAUCAGCGGGUCAGGUUGCGCGAAAGCGUUUCCUAAUCUUUAAAUCCGCUCGUGAUGGGGAUUGACGGUUGCAAUUUUCUGUCAUGAACGAGGAAUACCUUGUAAGCGCGGGUCAUCAUCCCGCGCUGAAUACGUCCCUGCCCUUGUACACACCGCCCGUCGCUCCUACCGAUUGAGUGGUCCGGUGAGGCUUUGGGAUCUGAGUGGAAAGAGCGUUUCGCUGUUUCUGCUCGGAAAACUCAGUCGAACCUUAUCAUUUAGAGGAAGGAGAAGUCGUAACA